This 65-nucleotide transfer RNA is filed under the name Marmota monax (woodchuck). Its description in RNAcentral is "tRNA.Ala". Lineage: Eukaryota; Metazoa; Chordata; Mammalia; Rodentia; Sciuridae. The record is from RNAcentral.
GAUAUAGUUCAGUGGUAGAACACUUGUCUAGCACAUGCAAAGCCCUGGGUUGGAUUCCCAGAUCA